GUGGGGAAUAUUGGACAAUGGCCGAGAGGCUGAUCCAGCCAUGCCGCGUGCGGGAAGACGGCCCUAUGGGUUGUAAACCGCUUUUGUUGGAGAGCAAUAAGAGUCACGUGUGACUUGAUGAGAGUAUCCAGCGAAUAAGCAUCGGCUAACUCCGUGCCAGCAGCCGCGGUAAUACGGAGGAUGCAAGCGUUAUCCGGAUUUAUUGGGUUUAAAGGGUGCGUAGGCGGAUGAUUAAGCGUGAGGUGAAAUGCCACAGCUCAACUGUGGAACUGCCUCGCGAACUGGUUGUCUGGAAUGCCCCUGCCGUGGGAGGAAUGUGUGGUGUAGCGGUGAAAUGCAUAGAGAUCACACAGAACACCGAUUGCGAAGGCAUCUCACGAAGGGGUGAUUGACGCUGAGGCACGAAAGCGUGGGGAUCAAACAGG
RNAcentral lists this ribosomal RNA (425 nucleotides) under uncultured rumen bacterium. Its description in RNAcentral is "bacterial SSU rRNA". It matches the Rfam family "Bacterial small subunit ribosomal RNA", at positions 354 to 776 of the family's 1533-position model. The record is from RNAcentral.